ACAGCAGCCGCCGCGGUAAUACAGAGGGUGCGAGCGUUAAUCGGAUUUACUGGGCGUAAAGCGUGCGUAGGCGGCUAAUUGAGUCGGAUGUGAAAUCCCCGAGCUUAACUUGGGAAUUGCAUUCGAUACUGGUUAGCUAGAGUGUGGGAGAGGAUGGUAGAAUUCCAGGUGUAGCGGUGAAAUGCGUAGAGAUCUGGAGGAAUACCGAUGGCGAAGGCAGCCAUCUGGCCUAAUACUGACGCUGAGGUACGAAAGCAUGGGGAGCAAACAGGAUUAGAUACCCGAGUAGUCCCUGUCUCUUAUAC
This 305-nucleotide ribosomal RNA is filed under the name uncultured bacterium. RNAcentral describes it as "partial 16S ribosomal RNA". It matches the Rfam family "Bacterial small subunit ribosomal RNA", at positions 508 to 807 of the family's 1533-position model. The record is from RNAcentral.